This is a long non-coding RNA of Mauremys reevesii (Reeves's turtle), 1541 nucleotides long. RefSeq lists it as uncharacterized. The transcript has 3 exons. NCBI's taxonomy places the organism in Eukaryota, Metazoa, Chordata, Testudines, Geoemydidae. The record is from RefSeq and is a predicted model, not a curated record.
CAAAUAUUUGUUUUAAUCACUGUAAUCUCUUGCUUGUCAGCAGCUGAUAACAAUGCAGAAACAUUUUGGAGGAAUACACUGAGGUCAGGAGAGUUACUCCAGAUUUACAAUGGUCUCCGUUCAGAAACAGUUUCCUGCAAUGCAACCAGUUUUUGUUUGAAGACAGAAGCUUUAAUCUUGUGCUGAAAAUAUCCAGCUCCUCCGGGCACCAAGGCUUGUUGGGUCACAUCUGGAGUACCCAUGACAGCUCCACUUUGUUUCCAUCCAGGUCCCCCAGCUGACCAAUGGCUUGGACCUUACCAUCCACCAGCCUUGUAAAAGGGUUAAGGAGUGCUAUGAGAACCUGAACCAAAACUUUUUUAAUUUUAUGCAUCUUCAUCUUCCCAUCCAGAACCACAGACAAGAAGUGCAAAAAUACUACAUGAAAAACUGUGCUUGCAGUAUUUCUGUCUUAACAAGCAGUGCCAGAAAGUUUGCAUCAAAAGCCUGUUCUCGUGAGAAAUCUUGCUCAGUUUUGCAGGCCCAAGUGAUUAGGACAGAGCAGGUGAGAACCCUAACUUUUUGAGGUUCACUUAUCAUUACUGCAACUAGCAACAAAAUCAUUGGGAUAAAAAACAAGAACAACAAAAAAAGGGUGGAAUAAGAUGGUGCAAAAAUAGUGAAAAGUAAGAAAGAUGUAUCAAAGUAGAAAACAUCAAGCAGAGAAGAAAUGCAAGUUAUAUAAUCUAAGCUUUUUACCUAGUGAAAUGGAGAAUAAUGAGAUAAUUGCACACCAAAUUAAGCUAACUGAUACAUGUGAUCAGUUAUGACAUGAGUUAUUAACAUCCCGUAGUUACAGCAAAACUGCACAAGAUUUUGUAGCAAGUACUGUGCAGUAUACAGUAGUUUCAUUGAAAAUAAUGGUAACUAUAAACUACUCCAUCACAUAAUAAUUAUGCAAACAACUCAUGUUACCAUGCUGGUCAAAGAAGGCUAACAGCCAGUAUUGAGUUACUGACCUCACAGUGUUUGCAAAAGAAGGUCCGAGCAGAUGAGACUAAGAAAUGCAUUUACCAAAGCAGGAAGAAGGAAUUCUGAAGGGAAUCACAAUCAUGUCAGAACAGGUGGUCAAGAAAUUAAAGUAUGGACAAAACUCCAGGAGCAGACAGAAUAAUCCCAGAAGUCUGAAGAAAGUCACAAGAAAAAAAAAGGGAUUUCAUUAGUGAGUAUAGUUAAACUAGGAAUAGUUUAAAAUAGGUUCUCUUUUCUGAAACUUGCAUUUUCAGGAUCAGUUUAAUAUUCAAAGAACUUGGUUAAAGUUUCUGGCUUGCUUGCUGGGGAACCCACCCUCCUCUGAAUACACUAAAAAGAGUGACUAAAUUUCUAAAUACUUAUCCUCUUUCUAGUGCUUCUCUUAUGUAGAACUUGGUGUGAAAACUUUUCCAUACAAAAACAGCAUUUUUCACAAUUUCGAAAGGGGAGAAGUCACAUUUGCCCAAUAAUUAAAUAGGUUUUAAAUUUUAAUUUUUUUUCAAACCAAACAAGCUGUAGCCAUAUCUCCA